Peromyscus californicus insignis is the source of this 1827-nucleotide long non-coding RNA. RefSeq lists it as uncharacterized. NCBI's taxonomy places the organism in Eukaryota, Metazoa, Chordata, Mammalia, Rodentia, Cricetidae. The record is from RefSeq and is a predicted model, not a curated record. The transcript has 2 exons.
GGGACAACUGUCACCCCAUGCGUGUGAAGACAAACACAUGUACCCAUACCAGCAGUGGAGCAUCAGCUCUGCCUGCUCUGCCCUCACACCUCCCACAGUCAGGAAAAUGAAAUACUGCUCUCCAAAAACCAGAGCUGGGAGAGUCCCUACAAAGGAAGUGAUGUGUAGAGUGUGAGUGUGGCCUUUGGGAUCCACGGGACUCCUGUCUUGCAGCCUCACCCCUCUGGGAUGGGGGGUGGGGAGGAACUCAGUCUCAGCAAGUGCUGCUGGGGCAGAAAUCAAUGGGGUCUUUGUGUCCCUGAGUUGGUGUCUUAGCUCCAGUUGGGGUGGGCAGGAAAAGGGAAGGAUAAAGAUGACACACAUCAAUGGAGGAGAGAUGGAGGGCAUUUAGGAAGUGAGCGGGAGGUGACAGAGGGUUUCUGUUAGGAUAAGAGGAAUCCAGAGAACACAGGGGUAGGGAUUCCCUUGAUCCAAGCUAAGAGUCCCUGGAAUCCUGAGAAUAACUGGAGUGGAGGGGGGGGGGGAGUCAAGGAUAGCUUUCCCUACAUCCUUUGGUACUCUGGGGCUGGAGAGGGAGGGUCAAAGCUUACGGACCUCUUCUGUGGGGCUGUCCCAGGAACAUCCGUGCAAGUCUGGCAAAGCAAGCACUAGGGGACAGAAUUCCCCCUUUGGGGUUCUUGUUCCCCGAUGCCCACCUUAGCCUAGACUCAUACCCUUCUGCCCACACCCCAUCCCCCACCUGCUGCAUGUAAUUCCUUCUGGACCUGGUACUCGGUUGAGUCUGAGACAGUUAGGAGCUGGGCUGGGGCUCAUGGCGAUGGAGAAGGUUGGAUGCGUUGCCUGGGUGAGGUGAGAUGGAGAAGGGGAAGGACGGCUCGAGGCCUCUGGUGAGGACACGAGGUCCAUAAUCAGCUCUGCAGUGAGGGUGUGGGCUACAUGAUGGGGACUUGAGGGUCUUUGGUAAGGAGAUGAAAAUUUGAGCCCGUUGGGGGUAGCACCUGCCCCGGAGUGGGUGGUGGAAUGGUCAGUGACUGUGACGGACAGGCUUCGGUAAGGGACUGUGAUGUGUUUUCUGUUGCUUUCCCUGUUUCCUCCUUCCCACUCCCCACUCUGCUGUGACCUUUCCUCCGGAAUCCAAGUUAAUAAAUGUCACAUUUUCCAGCCUAUUUUUACUCUGGGUAAUGUGCCCUCCCCCAGUCCCCUAAGCUUCUGCUCUUGCUUCUGGUACCACUGAAAUCACUUUCACCCCCAUGCUCCCAAAUAUCCCUUCAUUUACUCCUAGUCAGGCACUCAGAAUGCUUGCUGCUCUGUGUGCCUGCACACACUGGGUUCCUGGCUAGGACCUAGGGGGGACAGCAAAGAAGCGACGCCAUAGUCCUCAAACCCUGUCCUCAAGAUGCCUUCAGUCUCACGGAAGAACAGGGACAGGGAUGCUCAAAAGCUUAAGCAACCAUGCAAGAGUUAAUCAGCCAUGCAAGCAAUGUCAUAAGGUGCCAGGAUUAAUUGCCAGAUGAGGUUCCUGGAUGGUAAAAGCCCGAGUUGAGAGAGAGAGAGAGAGAGAGAGAGAGAGAGAGAGAGAGAGAGAGAGAGAGAGGCCACUGUGGGCUAAAAGAAGGCUGGGAAGGCUUAAAGGAUGAGGCAGCCUGACUGAGAUUCCGAGAGGAGAGAAAGAGCGACAUGGUUUCUGAGGUGCAAUGCUAGGACCAUUUCCACACACACUCCAUCCUCCACGAAGGCCCCUGGCUCUUCUCUUCCCUUUUCUCCGUCACUCAGGCUCACACCAGCCCAUUCCCACGUCUACCUCAGUACUCUCAUCACCACCCUAUU